CACGUAGUUAGCCGGGGCUUUCUUCUUCGGUACCGUCACGCAAAAGGGCUGUUCACCCUCCUGCCGUUCUUCCCGAAGAACAGAGUUUUACAACCCGAAAGCCGUCCUCACUCACGCGGCGUUGCUCCGUCAGGCUUUCGCCCAUUGCGGAAAAUUCCCUACUGCUGCCUCCCGUAGGAGUCUGGGCCGUGUCUCAGUCCCAGUGUGGCCGAUCACCCUCUCAGGUCGGCUACGCAUCGUCGCCUUGGUGAGCCAUUACCCCACCAACAAGCUAAUGCGCCGCGGGCCCAUCCGCAAGUGACAGCCGAAGCCAUCUUUCCACCCCUCACCAUGAGGCGAGAGGUCUCAUCCGGUAUUACGCCCCGGUUUUCCCGGAGUUAUCCCGAGCUUGCGGGCAGGUUGCCCACGUGUUACUCACCCGUCCGCCGCUGACUUCAGAAGAGCAAGCUCUCCGUCGGUCCGCGCGACUUGCAUGUAUUAGGCACGCCGCCAGCGUUCGUCCUGAGCCGAGGACUCAAACUCC
This 523-nucleotide ribosomal RNA is filed under the name uncultured Thermoactinomycetaceae bacterium. RNAcentral describes it as "partial 16S ribosomal RNA". Lineage: Bacteria; Bacillati; Bacillota; Bacilli; Caryophanales; Thermoactinomycetaceae. The record is from RNAcentral.